This is an RNA transcript of Triticum aestivum (bread wheat), 862 nucleotides long. RefSeq lists it as uncharacterized. The record is from RefSeq and is a predicted model, not a curated record. NCBI's taxonomy places the organism in Eukaryota, Viridiplantae, Streptophyta, Magnoliopsida, Poales, Poaceae. The transcript has 4 exons.
AUUCCGUGUUCGUAUUGGCUUCUCUCUCUCUCUCUCUCUCUCAAGAUCCCAUCGGUGGGCUAGCUAUCGAUCUAUCAGACCGCGACCGACGACGCAGACAAGACGAAGGCAGCACGUACAGCAGGAGGAUCCAUCCACCGACUCUAUGGGAGCAUGGUUCUCUUCCCCUUGGCAGAUGCUGCUCGAUUGGAUGGCGCAGCGUAUGAUCCCAACUUCCCAAGGGCUUUACCUCCAUUUGAUGUCCCCCCUCUUGAUGCGCGUCACCCUUGCACACCAGAAGAGUUCGACGACUUGCACAUUUGCCGUCUCGGUCUCGCCCUCCAUGCCCUCAAACAUUACAACUCCAAGCACCCGGAUGCCGAGUUCUGGUCUCCUGACCAGCCCAAGGUUGCCUGCACUGGUUUCACGGAAGAUAUCUAGUACCACCUCAACUUCUCCGCCCACCGCAAGGAAGACGGCGACGAGCAGAGGUUCUUUGCUGAGCUACGCUUCGUCCAGUAUCCACGCAGACUUAUCAUCAAAUCAUGCACCAUCUUAAAAAAGCCGUUGUGCCGCUUCAAAAGCAGCUGCACCCAAGCCACGUACAACUUGGGUGUGGGAAGAAGGAGCAUGAAGAGGAACUCUACCGCGAGAGGCAUCAAUGGGACUGGGACCCACGUAGAAAGGAUUACUUCAGGAGAGAGAUGGUUGAGACACCAUUCCGGUUUGGCAGAUGCCCUAACUUCGGUGUGGAAAAGAGGGCCACGAAGAGGAACUCUACCGUGAGAAGAGUAAAUAUAGCUAGGACAGGCAUAUAUAUGUAGACUGAAUUGUUAGGAGAUGCCCUUCCAUUAAGCACCCAACCCUAGCCGCCCCUCCACCU